ACACUCUUCUGCCUUAGCAUCUCAGUCUGAUUGUAUUUCCAUAAAGAAGUGAUCAUCAAUGUUCUACCUUGAGCUGCGCCACCCCGCUGUAGUCCCUAAUGGACUGGCCUGAGGUCUCGCUACAAACAAGCGGCUGCUGAAAGAGAGUAGGUGAGUUGUGUUUAGUCUCUUUGUGUAAGCAAUUAUGCAAAGCUCAAAGGAUGUUUGGUAUGAGAGUGUCUAGAAAUGAUUUCUGUAGAGAUUUUUUAUUUUUUUUUAACUUGAACUUUCAAACCAAACCAGAACAUUUAGGAUGUCACAGCUGUAAAUAAUGUCUUAACCUUUGUUUAUUAUGUCAGGACUGAUGUUAAAACGUCAGAGUCAGACUCCAAACUGUGGUGGGUUAAGGGUCACAGGUGCAGCGUGUGCGUGGGUGUGUGUGUGUGUUUAUCGUGUGUGUUUGAGUGUUCGUUUGUUUGUGUGGCUGCAGCCGUCACAGAGGAGGAGCUAUAAAUCCCUGAAUGUGAUGAUGGGUUUCUGACGUCGGGAGGUGUCAGUGAAUGUAUCAGAGAUGUUCAUGUUUGCGCUCCCACCUCACCGCAGGGUCAAGGUUCAAGUUCAGAGUGUUGUCAAGUUUUUAGAUCCUCACGUUUAAGGACUUUUUAAACAUGUGCACUAUCAGAGGAUUGUACUUUCAAGUUUUUUUCUUAUAUUUUUACCGUUUCCGCUCAGAAAUGCUCCUUUUUCUGUUGGCUAAGACUGAUUCACAUUUUCAUUACUUUAUUUAAUUGGUUUGUUGUCAUUAUUGUGUGUUUGAGCAUGUUUUAAACCAAACUCUUG
Xyrichtys novacula (pearly razorfish) is the source of this 819-nucleotide non-coding RNA. NCBI's taxonomy places the organism in Eukaryota, Metazoa, Chordata, Actinopteri, Labriformes, Labridae. The record is from the annotation of a GenBank genome assembly.